GCCAUGAGGUCAAAGGAAUUGUUUGUAAAGCGCCAAGACAGGAUUGUGUGUGGUAUAUGCUAACCUAAUGAGACUGAAGUGCAACUGGCCCCAAGAUAGUCUGAGUUCUGCGCAAUGAACUAACCAUUCAAGUUGUCCAAAACGCUUUAUUUACGUUUUGCAAAGAUAUGGAUGAGUCAACGUCAUUGGAUAUCGAGGCCCUGAAGGAGGACCGCUGUGGAUGCAGGCAUUUGUUCCAAACCAGCACUAGCACAUCAGAUUUGUGUUUUGGCACUAGAUGGGAGCAAAAGCUUGCACACUAUCUGGUAAUCCAUGACCAGGAGUGAAGACCUUGGGCAAUAGAGACAGAAGAAAGUAGUGGGAGAGACUCAAGUCAUUAGUGCUUCUCCAAUGUUUUCUUACCUCCGGCGGAAGAGGCAAGUGGGAUGCCCGUGGCAUCACAGAGAGAGAGAGACCAUGCAGGAGGUGUAGUGGGACGCCCACAGCAUCACGGAGAGAGAGACCAUGCAGGAGGUGUAGUGGGACGCCCACAGCAUCACGGAGAGAG
Molecule: long non-coding RNA, 547 nt
Filed under: Salmo salar (Atlantic salmon)
Lineage: Eukaryota; Metazoa; Chordata; Actinopteri; Salmoniformes; Salmonidae
Description: lncRNA (ENSSSAG00000109380.1)
Source: RNAcentral